This 640-nucleotide ribosomal RNA is filed under the name uncultured Alphaproteobacteria bacterium. RNAcentral describes it as "bacterial SSU rRNA". It matches the Rfam family "Bacterial small subunit ribosomal RNA", at positions 139 to 811 of the family's 1533-position model. Lineage: Bacteria; Pseudomonadati; Pseudomonadota; Alphaproteobacteria. The record is from RNAcentral.
UGGAAUAACACGAGGAAACUUGUGCUAAUACCGGAUAAGUCUUUACGGAGAAAGCUUUAUGCACCAUUGGAUGAGCCUGCACUUGAUUAGUUUGUUGGUGGGGUAAUGGCCUACCAAGACUUUGAUCAAUAGCUGAUUUGAGAGGAUGAUCAGCCACAUUGGGACUGAGACACGGCCCAAACUCCUACGGGAGGCAGCAGUGGGGAAUCUUGCACAAUGGAGGAAACUCUGAUGCAGCGAUGCCGCGUGAGUGAAGAAGGCCUUUGGGUUGUAAAGCUCUUUCGUCGGGGAAGAAAAUGACUGUACCCGAAUAAGAAGGUCCGGCUAACUUCGUGCCAGCAGCCGCGGUAAUACGAAGGGACCUAGCGUAGUUCGGAAUUACUGGGCUUAAAGAGUUCGUAGGUGGUUGAAAAAGUUGGUGGUGAAAUCCCAGAGCUUAACUCUGGAACUGCCAUCAAAACUUUUCAGCUAGAGUUUGAUAGAGGAAAGCAGAAUUUCUAGUGUAGAGGUGAAAUUCGUAGAUAUUAGAAAGAAUACCAAUUGCGAAGGCAGCUUUCUGGAUCAUUUACUGACACUGAGGAACGAAAGCAUGGGUAGCGAAGAGGAUUAGAUACCCUCGUAGUCCAUGCCGUAAACGAUG